This 259-nucleotide ribosomal RNA is filed under the name Staphylococcus aureus. RNAcentral's name for it is "partial 16S ribosomal RNA". It matches the Rfam family "Bacterial small subunit ribosomal RNA", at positions 621 to 884 of the family's 1533-position model. The record is from RNAcentral. Lineage: Bacteria; Bacillati; Bacillota; Bacilli; Caryophanales; Staphylococcaceae.
CCAGUUAUUAUAUUAAUAACUUGAAUCUGAUAGAGGCAGUCAAGUACAUUUAGAGUAGAGGUUAUAUCUUUAGAGACUUUAGUGACUACUAAGAGCGUAAGCAUGAUGCUGGUUAAAGAUUGACGGUGAGGUACGAAAGUUAGGGGCGAGACCGAGAUUAGUUAACUCAUUAUUCCUAACCGUAAACGAUGCAGAUCAAGUAUUAGUUAAUUAACUAGUAUUUAAAUUAACGAGGUAAAUCUGCCACCUGUAGAGUAUU